GCUUACGGCCAUACCACCCUGAGCACGUCCGACCUCGUCUGAUCUUGGAAGCUAAGCAGGGCUGGGCUUGGUUAGUACUUGGAUGGGAGACUGCCUGGGAAUACCUGGUGCUGAAAGCC
RNAcentral lists this ribosomal RNA (119 nucleotides) under Maylandia zebra (zebra mbuna). The record is from RNAcentral. Lineage: Eukaryota; Metazoa; Chordata; Actinopteri; Cichliformes; Cichlidae.